AACCUUCCUAGUACAUGACAGUCGCAACGCUUUGUGGUUCAACUGAUUUGAAGAGCUUGCUCAGAUAUGACGAUGGACAUUGCAAAGAGUGGCGAACGGGUGAGUAACACGUGGGAAACCUACCUCUUAGCAGGGGAUAACAUUUGGAAACAGAUGCUAAUACCGUAUAACAAUGACAACCGCAUGGUUGUUAUUUAAAAGAUGGUUCUGCUAUCACUAAGAGAUGGUCCCGCGGUGCAUUAGCUAGUUGGUAAGGUAAUGGCUUACCAAGGCGAUGAUGCAUAGCCGAGUUGAGAGACUGAUCGGCCACAAUGGGACUGAGACACGGCCCAUACUCCUACGGGAGGCAGCAGUAGGGAAUCUUCCACAAUGGGCGAAAGCCUGAUGGAGCAACGCCGCGUGUGUGAUGAAGGGUUUCGGCUCGUAAAACACUGUUGUAAGAGAAGAAUGACAUUGAGAGUAACUGUUCAAUGUGUGACGGUAUCUUACCAGAAAGGAACGGCUAAAUACGUGCCAGCAGCCGCGGUAAUACGUAUGUUCCAAGCGUUAUCCGGAUUUAUUGGGCGUAAAGCGAGCGCAGACGGUUAUUUAAGUCUGAAGUGAAAGCCCUCAGCUCAACUGAGGAAUUGCUUUGGAAACUGGAUGACUUGAGUGCAGUAGAGGAAAGUGGAACUCCAUGUGUAGCGGUGAAAUGCGUAGAUAUAUGGAAGAACACCAGUGGCGAAGGCGGCUUUCUGGACUGUAACUGACGUUGAGGCUCGAAAGUGUGGGUAGCAAACAGGAUUAGAUACCCUGGUAGUCCACACCGUAAACGAUGAGUGCUAGGUGUUUGAGGGUUUCCGCCCUUAAGUGCCGCAGCUAACGCAUUAAGCACUCCGCCUGGGGAGUACGACCGCAAGGUUGAAACUCAAAGGAAUUGACGGGGACCCGCACAAGCGGUGGAGCAUGUGGUUUAAUUCGAAGCAACGCGAAGAACCUUACCAGGUCUUGACAUCCCUUGACAACUCCAGAGAUGGAGCGUUCCCUUCGGGGACAAGGUGACAGGUGGUGCAUGGUUGUCGUCAGCUCGUGUCGUGAGAUGUUGGGUUAAGUCCCGCAACGAGCGCAACCCUUAUUACUAGUUGCCAGCAUUCAGUUGGGCACUCUAGUGAGACUGCCGGUGACAAACCGGAGGAAGGUGGGGAUGACGUCAAAUCAUCAUGCCCCUUAUGACCUGGGCUACACACGUGCUACAAUGGCGUAUACAACGAGUUGCCAACCCGCGAGGGUGAGCUAAUCUCUUAAAGUACGUCUCAGUUCGGAUUGUAGGCUGCAACUCGCCUACAUGAAGUCGGAAUCGCUAGUAAUCGCGGAUCAGCACGCCGCGGUGAAUACGUUCCCGGGUCUUGUACACACCGCCCGUCACACCAUGAGAGUUUGUAACACCCAAAGCCGGUGGGGUAACCUUCGGGAGCCAACCGUGCUAACGGAGUCCACUCCG
RNAcentral lists this ribosomal RNA (1480 nucleotides) under Weissella confusa. RNAcentral describes it as "bacterial SSU rRNA". It matches the Rfam family "Bacterial small subunit ribosomal RNA". Lineage: Bacteria; Bacillati; Bacillota; Bacilli; Lactobacillales; Lactobacillaceae. The record is from RNAcentral.